AGUGAACGCUGGCGGUAGGCCUAACACAUGCAAGUCGAACGGCAGCACAGUAAGGGCUUGCUCUUACGGGUGGCGAGUGGCGGACGGGUGAGGAAUACAUCGGAAUCUACUUUUUCGUGGGGGAUAACGUAGGGAAACUUACGCUAAUACCGCAUACGACCUACGGGUGAAAGCAGGGGAUCUUCGGACCUUGCGCGAUUGAAUGAGCCGAUGUCGGAUUAGCUAGUUGGCGGGGUAAAGGCCCACCAAGGCGACGAUCCGUAGCUGGUCUGAGAGGAUGAUCAGCCACACUGGAACUGAGACACGGUCCAGACUCCUACGGGAGGCAGCAGUGGGGAAUAUUGGACAAUGGGCGCAAGCCUGAUCCAGCCAUACCGCGUGGGUGAAGAAGGCCUUCGGGUUGUAAAGCCCUUUUGUUGGGAAAGAAAAGCAGCAGGUUAAUACCCCGCUGUUCUGACGGUGCCCAAAGAAUAAGCACCGGCUAACUUCGUG
RNAcentral lists this ribosomal RNA (492 nucleotides) under uncultured bacterium. RNAcentral's name for it is "partial 16S ribosomal RNA". It matches the Rfam family "Bacterial small subunit ribosomal RNA", at positions 29 to 507 of the family's 1533-position model. The record is from RNAcentral.